AACUACAACUCUUAUGAUAAUUUCACACUGUGGGAGGCAGCCCUGUCAUAUACCAUCUUAGAGAACUUGCAAAAGACCCUUUGCUUCUUGGAGCUCAGUUUUCUCAUUUAUAAAUUGUGAGAGCCCUGCCCACUCUCUGAGUCGAUAAGCAUGACAGGGCAGGAUACCCAUGAGGAGUAACUUAAGAAGAGCUGGGGACAGCCUAUGCCAUGGGCCUCUGUCGGUGAUAGACUGCACUAGCGUGCAUCCAGCCAGGGCCUGAGCACACAAGAAAUCCCUGGAAGUGGUUCUGCAUAGCUGGUGCUAGAUCAGCUGCACCUGGGAGUCACAGUAGCAAUGUGUGGGUCAGAAGCCAGCAUCUGCGCAGAGUGAGUGACCUGGCGCUGGGGAGUCUGACAGUGGGUGAAGGGACCUGCCAGCCCCAAGAAUGGGAAUUCCCAUCCAGCCCUGGCUUUGUCCAUUCCAGUGACUUGGUCAGGGCCCGAUCUGCCCUUAGGCUCCCUUCCUGCUGGAACAUGGGGCCAUUGUUUCCUGCUUCUGUAGCCACCUAGUUCCCCCGACAGCUACCUGUCCAGAUCCUACCUACAACCAUCCUGCCAAGCUCAGUCCUGACCAGCCACUGAACUGCCUGAGCCCUGCUUCUGACAAAGGGAGUGAUGGCCCCUGAUGUGUCCGUGGCUCACUGCACUUUACAGGCUCUUGCACAUUCUUGUCUUGUUCAAAGAUGUCUGACCCCAUCUUUCAGACAAGGGAACUGAGGCUCAGGGUCACUUGCAAGGUCCCAGAGUGCAGAUCAAGGGUGACUUCUUUCCCUGCCUGCUUAAUGCUACUCUUGGGAAAGGCUGGGGGUGAGGCAGCUAACAGGACUGCUAGGACCACUCCAUUUAGGCAAAGCUUGUCUCAGUGGAUGGGAAUUUCUGAAACCUAGAGCUCUUCACAAUGCAGGUGUUUUCAGCAAGUGGAAGACAAAAGAAAUGAGGCUGAGGAAAUCCAAGUUCCCACUGACAGCUUCUCCUGGGUCUGCAUUACUGACCACCUGAGAGCCCUCAGUGCCGGCCCGCCACCCCCAGCUUGUUCUCCACCACUGCUCAAGUGACCACACAGCUGGUGCUCUCAGCAGCUCCUAGCUCAGGAACUUUCUGUGACUUCCCAGGGCCUGCAGAGCACUCCUGGCAUCGUUCCCCCACCAACCUGCUCUCAAUCCACCUUCCAGCCUUCUUUUCACAUGGUCCCCACAUGCCUUAGCUGGCCAUCUGCACCUUGUCGCACUUUGACUUUGUUCAUGCUACCUCCUCUGUCUCUUUCCCUACCUGCACCAGCAAAAUCCAUCCCAGUGUUCAAGAACCAGAGCAAACGCAUUAGCCCCAGACAGCCUGGCAGGCAGGAGGCUUCCUUCCCUGGAUUUCUCGCUGGAUGACCUUGAUGACUUGUUCUGCCCCUGGCAGUGACUGCUCUGCUCCCUGUCCUGUCUCCCCUGCCAGAUAGCACUCUGGGCCACGUGUCUGAUUCCUCUUGCUGGGCCCAGUACACUGGCACUCAGUGAAUGUUUCCUCAAUCACCAAAUGUAUUCGUUUCCUGGGGCCACUAUGACAAAGUACCACAUGCUGAGUGGCUUAAACAACAGAAAUUGAUUGUCUCACAGUUCUGGUGGCUAGAAGUCCAAGAUCUAGGUGUCAGCAGGAUGGGUUCCUUCUGAGGCUGCUCCAGGCCUUUCUCCUUGGCUGGGGAUGGCCAUCUUCUCCAUGUGUCGCUUCACAUGGAGUUUCCCCUGUGUAUGUGUGUGUCUAUGUCCAAACUGCCCUUAUUUUUGAGGCAGAGUCUCGUUCUUGUGGCCCAGGCUGGAGUGCAAUGGCGUGAUUUCGGCUCUCUGCAACCUCUGCCUUCUGGGUUCAAGUGAUUCUCCUGUCUCAGCCUCCCGAGUAGCUGGGAUUACAGGUUUGUACCAUCACACCCAGCUAAUUUUUGUAUUUUUACUAGAGAGGGGGUUUCACCAUGUUGGCCAGGCUGGUCUCAAACUCCCGACCUCAGGUGAUCCUCCUGCCUCAGCCUCCCUAAGUGCUAGGAUUACAGGUGCGAGCCACCGCGCCCAGCCCCUUUUUCUUUUUCUUUUCUUUUCUUUUUUUUUUUUUGAGACAGGGUCUCUCUCUGUCACCCAGUCUGUAGUGCAGUGGCGUGGUCACAGCUCACUGUAGCUGCGAACUCCUGGGCUUGGGUGAUCUUCCGGCCUCAGUCUCCUGAGUCACUGGGAUUGCUGGCAUGAGCCACUGCAUCCUGCCCAACUGCUCUUUUUCUAAGAAUACCAGUCGUCUGGGAUUAGGGCCCACCCUAAUGACCUCAUCUUAACUAUUUGUCUGUAAUGACCCUGUUUCUGAAUACAAUCACAUUCUGAGGUACUAGGGGUUAGGACUUCAACAUACGGAUUUUAGGGGGGCACAGUUCAACCCCUAACACUAAACAAAUGAGUUGUGAAAACCUCUGGACCGAGAAUGGCAAUGGCAGUCAGGUGCUUCACUCCCCUCACGGUCCAGUGUUUGGACACAAGAGUGAUGUGAUUAAAAGGAGGACUUGGGAGCUCAAGUCUGGAGAACAGAAUCAAGUCCUGGUUUGCUUCCUAUCUGUUUUGUGAUCUGUGUAAGUCAGUUAUUCCAAACUGUAUUUCUCUUUCACAUUAAUUAUAUUAAUUCCCAUCUCCCUUCCAAUCUCACCAGAAUUGUUUCAUUUUGAGGCACAGAGGGCUAAAAUGGCAGCAGAUUAUACAAAUCAAUACAAGAGGUCUGGACUCUUAAAAAUCAGAACUUACCAAUCUGGAGUUAACAAAGUUGGUAUCUCCAGACAUUUAUGGAAACUUCUAAUAUGCAAUGAAAGGCAAGAACCCUGGGCUGGAAGAAACCAGAUCACAUCUAGUCCCUUGGCUGAUGCUGAAACGCCCUCUGCAACAUGCCUACCUUACUUGUUGGAUACCUUGGUGAUGGGGACCCCACUCCUUAUAAGGCAAUGUAUUCCAUCUUUGAAAAACAGAAAUUUGGCCAGGCAUGGUGGCUCAUACCUGUAAUCCCAGCACUAUGGGAGGCUGAGG
This 3076-nucleotide long non-coding RNA is filed under the name Homo sapiens (human). Its description in RNAcentral is "HSALNT0152861". The record is from RNAcentral. Lineage: Eukaryota; Metazoa; Chordata; Mammalia; Primates; Hominidae.